Long non-coding RNA from Ailuropoda melanoleuca (giant panda), 2468 nucleotides. RefSeq lists it as uncharacterized. The record is from RefSeq and is a predicted model, not a curated record. Lineage: Eukaryota; Metazoa; Chordata; Mammalia; Carnivora; Ursidae. The transcript is spliced from 8 exons.
CAGAAAUCAAGAGUUGGAUGCUCAACCAACUGAGCCACCCAGGUGCCCCCGUAUUCCUGCGGGGCAUGUGAGCGUGCCCAGGUGGAUCUUAAGCAUGCGGUGGGUUGUAGCACAGCUGAGGAACACAGAACCCGGGGACUCCAGUGCUCUUAAUAAUCAGCGCUGUGGGCUUAUAGUGACCCAUAGGAACAAGUCUCUCUGCUACCAGUAGACCCUCCUUCAACAAAGGAGAGUAUGUUAAACCAAGGUUGAUGGACUAGAAAGCAAGGCCUGCUGGAUCACCCACAGAAGGCACUGCAGACGUGAUAAGAGCAAGGAAUGAUGAGCCUAAUGGGAUGAAGGGAGAGAGCAGAAGGCACAUGUGAGCUGUUUACCUUUUUCGACCAGUGCAUGGUCCAGAAGGCGUCCCCGUUGGCCCCUGUGAACUGUGGAGAUGGCCAGGACGCACUCCUGGGAACACACUAGUGCCAGCGUCCCAUGCUGCAGCAGACUGCAAGUGAGCAGAGAGGAAAGGGUUGAGAUCUUUCCGGAGACAGGCAUGCUGUCUUCAGGGCACAUGGCACACGAUGACAUUUUCUUAAACAAUGCCUUGGCUCAGUUUUCCAGGUCAACAAGUUACUAUUUAAAUAUGAACUUUCUCCAGUUCCAUUUACUCACUUUGGAUAUUGCAAUUUAUAACGGAUAUAGACAACCUGGAGUUUAUCAAGUGGAGGACAUCUAUGAUGCUGAUUGUUCUGGAAAAUGUAUCAGAAGGUGACCAACAGUGGCUGACUAUCUGACAUGUUUGGAUCAUUUUGUAAUAUUUUCCUCUUGGGAGUUUUGGAAGUUGCAGUCAUCAAAAUGGUGAUAAUCUACCAUUUUGAAGAUAUCCUUCUAAAUAUGCACUGCCAGGGGAAAGAAUAUGUAGAGUUUUACUCAUGAGAACAGGUUGCAAAAUGGAAGGAGUGAAUGCACCCUAAAACAAAACAAGAAAAUGAUCUUGUAUUGCCCCUCUGUGUCUUUCUCUUAAUGGUAAUGGUUGGAUGAAGGAAUGCACAAAUAAAUUCUUUAUUAUGCAUGAUACUGUGGGAAGGGAAAUAGAAAAUUGCUUUCUCAGCACAUGAAUCCUCUACCCAUCCAUUUAUUUAUUCAUUUAGGAAAUUCAUUGUGUUCCUUUUAUGACGGAGGUAUUAUUUCAGAUACUGGGAAUAUAGUAGUGAACAAAAUUUGCUGCCAUCAUGAAGCCUUACGUUCACUUGGGAAAAUAUAAUAAAUGAACCCAUAAAUAUAGUGAUGUGCAGUGAAGAAAGAUAAGGCUGGGUCCCUCAGUUCAGGGUCAAAAAACCAGCUAGAGCUCUGAUUGGUCACGAGAGGUCAUGUACCAGCCUUCCUCACAGGCAUAGGAACAAGUGGGGUGGGAACAUUUUGAACUUCCAUAGUGACAGGCUAUUAUGAUGGGCAGUAUGUGUGGGUGGAAAUCCCCAAACAUGGAGAAAGUUUUAAGAUACUGAUAGCCAAAACCAUGGCAAGACUGUCCAGUAUGGUCUCCAAAGGUUUAUAUAAUCUUUCACGUAAAUUGGUGCCAGUCCAAUUUAGGCUUACAGACCACUUUGCAAAAAAAUUUUUCCCCCAUCAACUUCUAUUUAGUUAACAUUGUGAGAAGAAACCCUUUUUAACAAUUUUGUUUUUAAGACUGUUCUGAGGAUUAGAAUGAAAAUUUUUUGUUGGGGCGUGUUCUAGGAUCAAAGCUCCCUUUUCUCACCACACAUGUAACUUAUGAGGUAUCUGAAAAAUGUACAACAUGCAUACUUUGGAGAAUAAGUCUAGCCUGGCUGAGGUGUCAGAUGCUGGGGGCAUUUUGGAAAGAUAUUUGGAAGAUAAUGGUACUGUCUUUGUGCUCUUAGGUAAUCUCAUUAUGGCUGAAGGCCCAGUGUUGGUGAUGCCAAUAGAUGGGCAAGACAGUGAUUCAGUAAAUGAGCAACAAGACCAUUUUAAUUCUUAUUGUGAAGUGUUGUCUUUUGUGAAAUAAGAGUGUAUUUCUUUGCUUUUAGGUAGCAUUAUACUAAAACGUUGAAUGAGCCAGUAUCUUUGCUCUGAAAGGUGAAACAUAAGAAAAUCCCAGAACAUGCCCUUAAAUAGGGUCAAGAUAUCUUAGGACAAAAAAAUGCUUAAAAAUGUAGGUAGGACUGCCAUGAAUGAAUAUGUUAAUUAUUGAGACGCAUAGAACUGAGUGAUUAAGAGUUUAUAAGCAGAGGCAGAAUGCUCCUCAAGGUGAUGAUGAAUGAUGCAAUUUGCAGCUUAUGGGCCACUUCAGUUUCUUGUCAAAAAUGCUGAUCUGAGUUGAAUACUGCUAAGAUUCCUAUGAUCUUAUGUAUGUAUGCAUUUUUAUUGAGAUGUAAUUGACAUAUAACAGAAGUUUCAGGUGUACAGCAUAAUGAUUCAAUGUAUGUAUAUAUGGUGAAAUGAACAUGAGAAACCUACUUAUCAAC